This 277-nucleotide long non-coding RNA is filed under the name Elaeis guineensis (African oil palm). RNAcentral's name for it is "long non-coding RNA (EGUI_LNC081267)". The record is from RNAcentral. Lineage: Eukaryota; Viridiplantae; Streptophyta; Magnoliopsida; Arecales; Arecaceae.
UGCAAAACUUAUUCGAGAAUCAGAUCUAAAUGCAUGCACCAGUUCUAUCUCUUACGCUGUCAUCUAAUUCCUUCAGAUUAAAAGAUACAUCCAAUUAAAAUUGCUUGAAAAUGAAGAGUUCACUUUUUCUAAACCAUUUCAAACCCCAAACAUUGUCUAAUAUCAAAUUACCAGGGUGUGACGAACUUCUUAGAAGUUAUUGCACUUUAUAAUACUCAAUAAGAGGUUCUUUUCCCUUUAGAUAAGGAAGAGCAUAAAUCAUAUAAGAAAUUUAUAA